CCAUUGCAGAGGAGUCCCAUAAUAGGACGAAACAGCCGUUCAGUGC
Molecule: non-coding RNA, 46 nt
Filed under: Schistosoma mansoni
Lineage: Eukaryota; Metazoa; Platyhelminthes; Trematoda; Strigeidida; Schistosomatidae
Source: RNAcentral